RNAcentral lists this ribosomal RNA (559 nucleotides) under bacterium enrichment culture clone OB24. RNAcentral's name for it is "partial 16S ribosomal RNA". It matches the Rfam family "Bacterial small subunit ribosomal RNA", at positions 338 to 915 of the family's 1533-position model. The record is from RNAcentral.
CCUACGGNNNNNNNCAGUGGGGAAUCUUGGACAAUGNNNNNNNGCCUGAUCCAGCCAUGCCGCGUGAGUGAUGAAGGCNNUNNNNUCGUAAAGCUCUUUCGCCAGAGAUGAUAAUGACAGUAUCUGGUAAAGAAACCCCGGCUAACUCCGUGCCAGCAGCCGCGGUAAUACGGAGGGGGUUAGCGUUGUUCGGAAUUACUGGGCGUAAAGCGCGCGUAGGCGGACUAGUCAGUCAGGGGUGAAAUCCCGGGGCUCAACCCCGGAACUGCCUUUGAUACUGCUAGUCUAGAGUUCGAGAGAGGUGAGUGGAAUUCCGAGUGUAGAGGUGAAAUUCGUAGAUAUUCGGAGGAACACCAGUGGCGAAGGCGGCUCACUGGCUCGAUACUGACGCUGAGGUGCGAAAGUGUGGGGAGCAAACAGGAUUAGAUACCCUGGUAGUCCACACCGUAAACGAUGAAUGCCAGUCGUCGGGUAGCAUGCUAUUCGGUGACACACCUAACGGAUUAAGCAUUCCGCCUGGGGAGUACGGUCGCAAGAUUAAAACUCAAAGGAAUUGACG